AUAUUGGCUUCGGCGAUACAUAAGCUAAGAUUGGAACGAUACAAGAAAGAUUAGCAUGACCAGUGAGCAAGAUGACACGCAAAGUCGCGAAGUUUUAGAUAUAACC
RNAcentral lists this small nuclear RNA (106 nucleotides) under Trichobilharzia regenti. Lineage: Eukaryota; Metazoa; Platyhelminthes; Trematoda; Strigeidida; Schistosomatidae. The record is from RNAcentral.